ACUCGUGGCAUAUAGCUCAGUAACACGUGGCCAAACUACCCUACAGACCGCGAUAACCUCGGGAAACUGAGGCCAAUAGCGGAUAUCACUCUCAUGCUGGAGUGCCGAGAGUGAGAAACGUUCCGGCGCUGUAGGAUGUGGCUGCGGCCGAUUAGGUAGAUGGUGGGGUAACGGCCCACCAUGCCGAUAAUCGGUACAGGUUGUGAGAGCAAGAGCCUGGAGACGGUAUCUGAGACAAGAUACCGGGCCCUACGGGGCGCAGCAGGCGCGAAACCUUUACACUGCACGACAGUGCGAUAGGGGGACUCCGAGUGUGAGGGCAUAUAGCCCUCGCUUUUCUGUACCGUAAGGUGGUACAAGAAUAAGGACUGGGCAAGACCGGUGCCAGCCGCCGCGGUAAUACCGGCAGUCCAAGUGAUGGCCGAUAUUAUUGGGCCUAAAGCGUCCGUAGCUUGCUGUGUAAGUCCGUUGGGAAAUCGACCAGCUCAACUGGUCGACGUCCGGUGGAAACUACACAGCUUGGGGCCGAAAGACUCGACGGGUACGUCCGGGGUAGGAGUGAAAUCCUGUAAUCCUGGACGGACCACCAAUGGGGAAACCACGUUGAGAGACCGGACCCGACAGUGAGGGACGAAAGCCAGGGUCUCGAACCGGAUUAGAUACCCGGGUAGUCCUGGCUGUAAACAAUGCUCGCUAGGUAUGUCACGCGCCAUGAGCACGUGAUGUGCCGUAGUGAAGACGAUAAGCGAGCCGCCUGGGAAGUACGUCCGCAAGGAUGAAACUUAAAGGAAUUGGCGGGGGAGCACCACAACCGGAGGAGCCUGCGGUUUAAUUGGACUCAACGCCGGACAUCUCACCGGUCCCGACAGUAGUAAUGACAGUCAGGUUGACGACUUUACUCGACGCUACUGAGAGGAGGUGCAUGGCCGCCGUCAGCUCGUACCGUGAGGCGUCCUGUUAAGUCAGGCAACGAGCGAGACCCGCACUUCUAGUUGCCAGCAAUACCC
RNAcentral lists this ribosomal RNA (1007 nucleotides) under Haloarcula sp. MaC3. RNAcentral's name for it is "bacterial SSU rRNA". It matches the Rfam family "Archaeal small subunit ribosomal RNA", at positions 74 to 1078 of the family's 1478-position model. The record is from RNAcentral. Lineage: Archaea; Methanobacteriati; Methanobacteriota; Halobacteria; Halobacteriales; Haloarculaceae.